AGCUCCAAUAGCGUAUAUUAAAGUUGUUGUGGUUAAAAAGCUCGUAGUUGAACCUUGGCCUCGGCCGGCCGGUCCGCCUCACCGCGUGCACUGGCUCGGCCGGGGCUUUCCCUCUGUGGAACCCCAUGCCCUUCACUGGGCGUGGCGGGGAAACAGGACUUUUACUUUGAAAAAAUUAGAGUGCUUCAGGCAGGCCUAUGCUCGAAUACAUUAGCAUGGAAUAAUAAAAUAGGACGUGCGGUUCUAUUUUGUUGGUUUCUAGGACCGCCGUAAUGAUUAAUAGGGACAGUCGGGGGCAUCAGUAUUCAAUUGUCAGAGGUGAAAUUCUUGGAUUUAUUGAAGACUAACUACUGCGAAAGCAUUUGCCAAGGAUGUUUUCAUUA
This 383-nucleotide ribosomal RNA is filed under the name Emericellopsis sp. RNAcentral's name for it is "partial small subunit ribosomal RNA". It matches the Rfam family "Eukaryotic small subunit ribosomal RNA", at positions 587 to 975 of the family's 1831-position model. Lineage: Eukaryota; Fungi; Ascomycota; Sordariomycetes; Hypocreales; Bionectriaceae. The record is from RNAcentral.